This 2902-nucleotide ribosomal RNA is filed under the name Escherichia coli UMEA 3662-1. RNAcentral's name for it is "bacterial LSU rRNA". It matches the Rfam family "Bacterial large subunit ribosomal RNA". The record is from RNAcentral. Lineage: Bacteria; Pseudomonadati; Pseudomonadota; Gammaproteobacteria; Enterobacterales; Enterobacteriaceae.
UUAAGCGACUAAGCGUACACGGUGGAUGCCCUGGCAGUCAGAGGCGAUGAAGGACGUGCUAAUCUGCGAUAAGCGUCGGUGAGGUGAUAUGAACCGUUAUAACCGGCGAUUUCCGAAUGGGGAAACCCAGUGUGUUUCGACACACUAUCAUUAACUGAAUCCAUAGGUUAAUGAGGCGAACCGGGGGAACUGAAACAUCUAAGUACCCCGAGGAAAAGAAAUCAACCGAGAUUCCCCCAGUAGCGGCGAGCGAACGGGGAGGAGCCCAGAGCCUGAAUCAGUGUGUGUGUUAGUGGAAGCGUCUGGAAAGGCGCGCGAUACAGGGUGACAGCCCCGUACACAAAAAUGCACAUAUUGUGAGCUCGAUGAGUAGGGCGGGACACGUGGUAUCCUGUCUGAAUAUGGGGGGACCAUCCUCCAAGGCUAAAUACUCCUGACUGACCGAUAGUGAACCAGUACCGUGAGGGAAAGGCGAAAAGAACCCCGGCGAGGGGAGUGAAAAAGAACCUGAAACCGUGUACGUACAAGCAGUGGGAGCCUCUUUAUGGGGUGACUGCGUACCUUUUGUAUAAUGGGUCAGCGACUUAUAUUCUGUAGCAAGGUUAACCGAAUAGGGGAGCCGAAGGGAAACCGAGUCUUAACUGGGCGUUAAGUUGCAGGGUAUAGACCCGAAACCCGGUGAUCUAGCCAUGGGCAGGUUGAAGGUUGGGUAACACUAACUGGAGGACCGAACCGACUAAUGUUGAAAAAUUAGCGGAUGACUUGUGGCUGGGGGUGAAAGGCCAAUCAAACCGGGAGAUAGCUGGUUCUCCCCGAAAGCUAUUUAGGUAGCGCCUCGUGAAUUCAUCUCCGGGGGUAGAGCACUGUUUCGGCAAGGGGGUCAUCCCGACUUACCAACCCGAUGCAAACUGCGAAUACCGGAGAAUGUUAUCACGGGAGACACACGGCGGGUGCUAACGUUCGUCGUGAAGAGGGAAACAACCCAGACCGCCAGCUAAGGUCCCAAAGUCAUGGUUAAGUGGGAAACGAUGUGGGAAGGCCCAGACAGCCAGGAUGUUGGCUUAGAAGCAGCCAUCAUUUAAAGAAAGCGUAAUAGCUCACUGGUCGAGUCGGCCUGCGCGGAAGAUGUAACGGGGCUAAACCAUGCACCGAAGCUGCGGCAGCGACACUAUGUGUUGUUGGGUAGGGGAGCGUUCUGUAAGCCUGUGAAGGUGGCCUGUGAGGGUUGCUGGAGGUAUCAGAAGUGCGAAUGCUGACAUAAGUAACGAUAAAGCGGGUGAAAAGCCCGCUCGCCGGAAGACCAAGGGUUCCUGUCCAACGUUAAUCGGGGCAGGGUGAGUCGACCCCUAAGGCGAGGCCGAAAGGCGUAGUCGAUGGGAAACAGGUUAAUAUUCCUGUACUUGGUGUUACUGCGAAGGGGGGACGGAGAAGGCUAUGUUGGCCGGGCGACGGUUGUCCCGGUUUAAGCGUGUAGGCUGGUUUUCCAGGCAAAUCCGGAAAACCAAGGCUGAGGCGUGAUGACGAGGCACUACGGUGCUGAAGCGACAAAUGCCCUGCUUCCAGGAAAAGCCUCUAAGCAUCAGGUAACAUCAAAUCGUACCCCAAACCGACACAGGUGGUCAGGUAGAGAAUACCAAGGCGCUUGAGAGAACUCGGGUGAAGGAACUAGGCAAAAUGGUGCCGUAACUUCGGGAGAAGGCACGCUGAUAUGUAGGUGAAGCGACUUGCUCGUGGAGCUGAAAUCAGUCGAAGAUACCAGCUGGCUGCAACUGUUUAUUAAAAACACAGCACUGUGCAAACACGAAAGUGGACGUAUACGGUGUGACGCCUGCCCGGUGCCGGAAGGUUAAUUGAUGGGGUUAGCGGUAACGCGAAGCUCUUGAUCGAAGCCCCGGUAAACGGCGGCCGUAACUAUAACGGUCCUAAGGUAGCGAAAUUCCUUGUCGGGUAAGUUCCGACCUGCACGAAUGGCGUAAUGAUGGCCAGGCUGUCUCCACCCGAGACUCAGUGAAAUUGAACUCGCUGUGAAGAUGCAGUGUACCCGCGGCAAGACGGAAAGACCCCGUGAACCUUUACUAUAGCUUGACACUGAACAUUGAGCCUUGAUGUGUAGGAUAGGUGGGAGGCUUUGAAGUGUGGACGCCAGUCUGCAUGGAGCCGACCUUGAAAUACCACCCUUUAAUGUUUGAUGUUCUAACGUUGGCCCGUAAUCCGGGUUGCGGACAGUGUCUGGUGGGUAGUUUGACUGGGGCGGUCUCCUCCUAAAGAGUAACGGAGGAGCACGAAGGUUGGCUAAUCCUGGUCGGACAUCAGGAGGUUAGUGCAAUGGCAUAAGCCAGCUUGACUGCGAGCGUGACGGCGCGAGCAGGUGCGAAAGCAGGUCAUAGUGAUCCGGUGGUUCUGAAUGGAAGGGCCAUCGCUCAACGGAUAAAAGGUACUCCGGGGAUAACAGGCUGAUACCGCCCAAGAGUUCAUAUCGACGGCGGUGUUUGGCACCUCGAUGUCGGCUCAUCACAUCCUGGGGCUGAAGUAGGUCCCAAGGGUAUGGCUGUUCGCCAUUUAAAGUGGUACGCGAGCUGGGUUUAGAACGUCGUGAGACAGUUCGGUCCCUAUCUGCCGUGGGCGCUGGAGAACUGAGGGGGGCUGCUCCUAGUACGAGAGGACCGGAGUGGACGCAUCACUGGUGUUCGGGUUGUCAUGCCAAUGGCACUGCCCGGUAGCUAAAUGCGGAAGAGAUAAGUGCUGAAAGCAUCUAAGCACGAAACUUGCCCCGAGAUGAGUUCUCCCUGACUCCUUGAGAGUCCUGAAGGAACGUUGAAGACGACGACGUUGAUAGGCCGGGUGUGUAAGCGCAGCGAUGCGUUGAGCUAACCGGUACUAAUGAACCGUGAGGCUUAACCUU